CUUGGUCAUUUAGAGGAAGUAAAAGUCGUAACAAGGUUUCCGUAGGUGAACCCGCGGAAGGAUCAUUCUUGUAUACCUGGUCAAGCGUAAGCUAGGCCAAACCAUGUGUGAAUCAGUGUUCUCUUCCCAGCGGAAGGUCUUGCAACCCUGGGCUCUGCCUGGGCAAGCUUGAUUGACGGCUGGGGUAUUGCCUCGCAAGAGGUGAAUCAUGUUCAAUAGCAGGGAACUCAAAAGUAACAAAUUACAACUUUUAACGAUGGAUCUCUUGGCUCUCACACCGAUGAAGAACGCAGCGAACUGCGAUAAGCAAUGCGAAACGCAGUUGUUCGUGAGUCAUCCGGUAUUCGAACGCACAUGGCAGGUCCUCGGACCUACGUCUGGUUGAGGGUCUUUAUUACUCCAUUUCUAUGGGAUGUGAGUGGGCUCUUGGCUCACUUUAAAGGCAGGGUGACUUGCACCGUAACCGUUUGGUGGACAAUCGAGCGGGCUUUGGUGGCAAGCGAUGGCUGGCAAGCAGUUAUCAAUUCAACUUUGACCUCAACUCAGACGAGACUACCCGCUGAACUUAAGCAUAUCAAUAAGCGGAGGAAAAGACACCAACAGGGAUUCCCUUAGUAACGGCGAGUGAAAAGGGAGAAGCGCAACAUGGGAAUCGGGCCGCAAGGUUCGAGUUGUAGGGUUGCAUUGCUUGCCUUGGAUGAAGCGGCGUGUAAGUCUCUUGGAAUAGAGCAGCACAGAGGGUGAUACUCCCGUAACGCGCUGCAGAGUCUGUGAUGGCAAGUAAUAGGCGAGUCGAGUUGUUUGGGAAUGCAGCUCCAACGGGUGGUAAACUCCAUCCAACGCUAAAUACUGGUGAGAGACCGAUAGCAAACAAGUACCGUGAGGGAAAGAUGAAAAGCACCUUGAAAAGGGCGUUAAAAGAAUGUGAAAUCGUUAAGGGGGAAGCGUUGCCAGCGAGUGCAGUAUAAUGCAGAUCAUGUACUCUAUUAGGGUGCUGCACUGUGUGUUGUACUGGUCCACAUCAGUUUUGGUUGCUGGAUAAUCUCUCUGGAAGGUAGCGUUCUCGGACGUGUUAAGCCAGGGAGGGCGCAGUGACUGGGACUGAGGACCGCCGUGCACGUUUGCGGGGCCUUCUAUCUCUGGGAUAUUGCCAGCUGGUGCAUCUUUGAUGAGCUAGUUGAGUAGUGUACCACCGGUGGAAGUGAUCGCCUAUGCACGAAGGAUGUGGGCGAAAUCGCUUGUAGCGACCCGUCUUGAAACACGGACC
This 1267-nucleotide ribosomal RNA is filed under the name uncultured fungus. Its description in RNAcentral is "eukaryotic LSU rRNA". The stretch from base 533 to 1267 matches the Rfam family "Eukaryotic large subunit ribosomal RNA", at positions 1 to 667 of the family's 3401-position model. Lineage: Eukaryota; Fungi. The record is from RNAcentral.